Molecule: ribosomal RNA, 274 nt
Filed under: uncultured bacterium
Lineage: Bacteria
Description: partial 16S ribosomal RNA
Rfam family: Bacterial small subunit ribosomal RNA
Source: RNAcentral
AUACGGAGGGUGCAAGCGUUACUCGGAAUCACUGGGCGUAAAGCGCGCGCAGGCGGCUUGAUAAGUUGGAUGUGAAAGCCUACGGCUCAACCGUAGAACUGCAUCCAAAACUGUCAGGCUAGAGUGUGAGAGAGGAAGAUGGAAUUAGUUGUGUAGGGGUAAAAUCCGUAGAGAUAACUAGGAAUACCAAAAGCGAAGGCAAUCUUCUGGAACACUACUGACGCUGAGGCGCGAAGGCGUGGGGAGCAAACAGUAUUAGAAACCCUAGUAGUCC